ACGGUAUUUGUAGAUUUGAUCAUGCUGAUACUUACCAAGGUAACCCGAUUAAUGAAGUGGUUGGUUUCAUGGAUUCAAUGAUGCAGUACGCAUGUGACAUGCAAAGUCCCAAGAAGCAGUGCGGUAAUGCUAGGAAGACCAAAGACAAGUCUAGCCCAUCCGAGGAUCCUCAUAGUAUUGCAGCAAAGGUGUUCUCAUUCAUCUGCCCCGUCUCCAUCGGGUUCAGUAAUAUGGCUUGAUGGUCGAGAACAUGACCGAGAAUCAAUCACUCGGAGGUAACUCGCAGAUUAGGUCGACUAACAGAUGCGUCCUUGUUGCAGAACCGGAGGGAACGGAUCAGUGAGCGGCUCAAAGUUCUACAAGGCCUCGUUCCCGAUGGCGCAAAGGUUGAUUUGGUGACCAUGCUAGAGAAAGCGAUUAGCUACGUGAAGUUCCUUCAGUUGCAAGUGAAGGUGUUGGCAACUGAUGAGUUCUGGCCGGCGCAAGGGGGGAAAGCACCAGAUGUUGGGCAACCAAAGGAAGCCAUCGAUGCCAUCUUAUCCUCUCACGGAGACAGGAACCGCAAGUGUAAGCAGUGACCAAAAACAGCCAUGGUUUGAAGCUAGGAAGGACUUGUUCCCUUUCCCAUUUCUUCCUCCCUUUUCAUUUGUGACUCAGAUGUAAUGCUAACUGAAUUCAUCAGUGCAAUGAAUUUGGCCU
This is a long non-coding RNA of Musa acuminata AAA Group (dessert banana), 699 nucleotides long. RefSeq lists it as uncharacterized. The record is from RefSeq and is a predicted model, not a curated record. Lineage: Eukaryota; Viridiplantae; Streptophyta; Magnoliopsida; Zingiberales; Musaceae. The transcript is spliced from 3 exons.